GACGAACGCUGGCGGCGUGCCUAAUACAUGCAAGUCGAGCGGGCCUCCGGAGGUGCUUGCACCUCCGGAAGGCCAGCGGCGGACGGGUGAGUAACACGUGGGCAACCUGCCUUUGAGGCCGAGAUAACACCGGGAAACCGGUGCUAAUACCGGAUGCGUCCCCUUUCGCGCCUGCGAGAGGGGAGAAAGACGGUCUGUAAGGCCGUCGCUCGAAGAGGGGCCCGCGGCGCAUUAGCGGGUUGGUGGGGUAAGGGCCUACCAAGGCGCCGAUGCGUUGCCGACCUGAGAGGGUGAUCGGCCACACUGGGACUGAGACACGGCCCAGACUCCUGCGGGAGGCAGCAGUAGGGAAUCAUCCGCAAUGGGCGAAAGCCUGACGGUGCAACGCCGCGUGAGUGAGGAAGGUUUUCGGAUCGUAAAGCUCUGUUGUGAGGGAAGAACAGCUUCCGGAGGAAAUGCCGGAGGUUUGCCGGUACCUCACCAGAAAGCCCCGGCUAACUACGUGCCAGCAGCCGCCGUAA
RNAcentral lists this ribosomal RNA (521 nucleotides) under uncultured bacterium. Its description in RNAcentral is "partial 16S ribosomal RNA". It matches the Rfam family "Bacterial small subunit ribosomal RNA", at positions 28 to 523 of the family's 1533-position model. The record is from RNAcentral.